UGAAAGAAUACUUCCAAAUUUUUGAAGUGAUCCCCGCUUUGGGUAUUGUUGUCUACUGGCUGUGCAACUUCGUAAUUUUCCCACGCUGCGGAAUGUUUCUACACGGAAGACGCAUAAUUAUUGGAUUCGGCUUAUUUCUGGAAAAUGUACAAGUAAGCGCUCAGCAUGGGAUCUCCAACUAACGUCUCCUGUGCCUUGAUGUGCCACAUCAGCUGAUCGGAAACUCGCGAAAGUCCCGCCAGCCCAUCAUUAUGAGCAGCUCGAUGCCCGACGAUGUGAUUGGAAUCGGAGGACUCGCCUCUCCCCUACAGCCAUCGACGGCUUCAGCGAUCACCAAAGAUCAUCUGCUGGUGGCAAUGCUUCAGACGAGUUGCAAAAGCGAGAUCUCAUCGAAGGCGAACUCACGGAACAAUCUGCCGAAAACAGUUUCACUUAAGGAAGCCAUGUGUUGUCGUUGACAAUAUUGUGGUGAAUGUAGCCAUACAUAAUGGCCCGCGCCAGCAUAAAGUAGAUGUCUAACAGGAGACAGCCGCUGUAACAGGAUACUGUAGGCCAGAUAAAUCCAAACCAUCUUCUUCACACGGAUUAGCCUGCUAUUGCCAGGAACAUGCCGGAUGGUCCCCAUAAGGCCAUAGACGCUCAGCUCGUAUCGAUAUAAGGAAGAUGUCGCGAUCUAUCGCGAUCGAUACUUCACCCACGAUCGCGUGCAUCGCGCCAGUGGGUAGUACACCGACAUCAUCUUCCCUGCAGCAACAUGCUUUGCCUCAUCGGCUUUGAACGGCCAUAGCUAUGAUGCCGCUGCUGUGCCGCUGAGUCGACAAUGUGGCGUCCCGUCCGCUACAGGGACAUAAUUUCAGCAACCAAACCAAACAAAUCAAACGCUGGGUAUCAGCUUCGAUACGCAGGACUUAUAUAUCCUACGGCGUAUUCGAGACAGGCCGAGUCCCAGCCAGGCAGAAUCGUCUCCCAUCAGGACAGAAUCGCAUCCCCUGCAAGAGCUCGAACCUAACAAGCCGUCAUCAUCUUUCGACCUGGCC
RNAcentral lists this small RNA (1037 nucleotides) under Drosophila pseudoobscura pseudoobscura. RNAcentral describes it as "GA32339". The record is from RNAcentral. Lineage: Eukaryota; Metazoa; Arthropoda; Insecta; Diptera; Drosophilidae.